GAUGAACGCUGGCGGCGUGCCUAAUACAUGCAAGUCGAGCGAACGGACGAGAAGCUUGCUUCUCUGAUGUUAGGGCGGGAGGGGGGAUAAAACGGGGGAAACCUAACUUUAAAAAUUGGGAUAACUCCGGGAAACGGUGCCAAUAACGGGAUAUAAUUUUGAACGCCAGGGUCAAAAAGUGAAGAAGGGCUUUGUGGCCACUAUUAGAGGGAUCCGCGCUGCAUUAGCUAGUUGGUAAGGUAACGGCUUACCAAGGCAACGAUGCAUAGCCGACCUGAGAGGGUGAUCGGCCACACUGGAACUGAGACACGGUCCAGACUCCUACGGGAGGCAGCAGUAGGGAAUCUUCCGCAAUGGGCGAAAGCCUGACGGAGCAACGCCGCGUGAGUGAUGAAGGUCUUCGGAUCGUAAAACUCUGUUAUUAGGGAAGAACAUAUGUGUAAGUAACUGUGCACAUCUUGACGGUACCUAAUCAGAAAGCCACGGCUAACUACGUG
RNAcentral lists this ribosomal RNA (497 nucleotides) under uncultured bacterium. RNAcentral's name for it is "partial 16S ribosomal RNA". It matches the Rfam family "Bacterial small subunit ribosomal RNA", at positions 28 to 507 of the family's 1533-position model. The record is from RNAcentral.